This 1176-nucleotide long non-coding RNA is filed under the name Salmo trutta (river trout). RNAcentral's name for it is "lncRNA (ENSSTUG00000023401.1)". The record is from RNAcentral. Lineage: Eukaryota; Metazoa; Chordata; Actinopteri; Salmoniformes; Salmonidae.
GCAGCAGAGGUCCAGGGUGCAGAGAGACUGUUCCUUCCUCUGUCCUCUCAGUCGACCAACAGGCCGCUGUAUGCUGAGGUGGCUGAGUGGAGGAUGCUCCUGUGUCGCUUCAGCCACUUCCUCAACAUGAUAGACAGAAUGUUUGAAGAGAUGCUCUGUGUCUUGGUCAGAUCUGCAGUUCAACUCCUUCUGUUGUUCCUCCGAGAGUCCUCUAACACUAAUGGAGUGAACGAGAGAAGACAAAAGACAAAGUAAGUGGUUUUUAAGGGAAAUAUAGUAAGGUUAUGGCAUUUGUCAAUGAGUUUAAUUAGCAUGCUUGCGAUGUUGAAAUAUUUGCUUGUGUAUUCGCUAGAAAAAUGGCAAGGAUGGAUGCAAGUGGACCUUAUAUAAAUAUUAUCAAAGAGCCAACAGUUCGUAAUGCGGCGCAUAAACUUUAUUCACACAGCCAAGGCCAACCACAGCUUGUUAACAAGAUGCUACCAGAUUUUAAAAAGGAGGAGCCUAAAGAAGAGAUCCAGGCUGUAUUUGAAGUGAACGUCCUGCUUACAGUCACACCUGUGAACCAGCCAAUGACAGAUGAUGUCUCAGCCAAAGGGACAGCCACAACAGAGCUCCACUCUGAAGGUGAAUCCCAUUUAUAGUAAAAAAAACAGCUAAAAUAGAUAUUAACUCUUUGAGCUAAGGUGUUCAACUUAAAUGUCUGCUGAAGCUUAGUGUUUUCUCAACCUAGAUACGGAGAAGGAUAAAGAGGUUUCCCGUGAGGAGACUCCACGGCGGUAUGACUUCACUUAUAUAUUACAAUAAACUGUAUCGCUCCAUGUUCCUCUAUUAGAAAAAUGUAUGAAUUUCACAAAUAUCAGCUAGUGUUUUUCUGCUAAUCUGUCAGUCAGCUGUCAGUGAAGUGAUUAUAUUACACAGAUGUUGUUGUUUUCCUUGUCCUAGUUCGCCCAGCAGACGAGUGAAGCUAACCAUCGAUCCCUGCCUUGAUGACUUCACACUGCACAUUCAACAGGUGCUACAGGGAUUUCAACAAGUCAUUGGUAAGACAUUCUCUAAAGAUUUCAAUUCACAGCCUUGUUGUCUUGUAAAUACUGUAGGUUCAUAAGUAUUAUGCUGUUUUAAAGUGCAGAGCUUUGCCAGACGGUAAUGGACUGUGUCCCAGAUGGCACACUAUUC